This 468-nucleotide ribosomal RNA is filed under the name uncultured bacterium. Its description in RNAcentral is "partial 16S ribosomal RNA". It matches the Rfam family "Bacterial small subunit ribosomal RNA", at positions 28 to 507 of the family's 1533-position model. The record is from RNAcentral.
GACGAACGCUGGCGGCGUGCUUAACACAUGCAAGUCGAACGGAAAGGCCCUGCUUUUGCGGGGUGCUCGAGUGGCGAACGGGGGAGAAAAACGCGAGUAACAUGCCCUUGACUUUGGGAUAACUCCAGGAAACUGGGGCUAAUACCGGAUAGGAGCUCCUGCUGCAUGGUGGGGGUUGGAAAGAUUCGGCGGUUGGGGAUGGACUCGCGGCUUAUCAGCUUGUUGGUGGGGUAGUGGCUUACCAAGGCUUUGACGGGUAGCCGGCCUGAGAGGGUGACCGGCCACAAUGGGCCUGAGAUACGGCCCAGACUCCUACGGGCGGCAGCAGUGGGGAAUAUUGCACAAUGGGCGGAAGCCUGAUGCAGCAACGCCGCGUGCGGGAUGCCGGCCUUCGGGUUGUAAACCGCUUUCGCCUGUGACGAGCCGUGAGUGACGGUAAUGGGUAAGGAAGCACCGGCUAACUACGUG